RNAcentral lists this ribosomal RNA (253 nucleotides) under uncultured bacterium. RNAcentral's name for it is "partial 16S ribosomal RNA". It matches the Rfam family "Bacterial small subunit ribosomal RNA", at positions 524 to 776 of the family's 1533-position model. The record is from RNAcentral.
UACGUAGGGCCCGAGCGUUGUCCGGAAUUAUUGGGCGUAAAGAGCUCGUAGGCGGUUUGUCGCGUCUGCUGUGAAAUCCCGAGGCUCAACCUCGGGUCUGCAGUGGGUACGGGCAGACUGGAGUGCGGUAGGGGAGAAUGGAAUUCCUGGUGUAGCGGUGGAAUGCGCAGAUAUCAGGAGGAACACCGAUGGCGAAGGCAGUUCUCUGGGCCGUAACUGACGCUGAGGAGCGAAAGCGUGGGGAGCGAACAGG